AUCCAUCUGAGGAGUUUCAAAUAGGAUGAAACGGGCGUCAUGGAU
This is a non-coding RNA of Schistosoma mansoni, 45 nucleotides long. Lineage: Eukaryota; Metazoa; Platyhelminthes; Trematoda; Strigeidida; Schistosomatidae. The record is from Rfam.